UACGAAGGGGGCUAGCGUUGUUCGGAAUCACUGGGCGUAAAGGGCGCGUAGGCGGCUUGAUAAGUCGGGGGUGAAAGCCUGUGGCCUCAACCACAGAAUUGCCUUCGAUACUGUCGAGCUUGAGACCGGAAGAGGUAAGUGGAACUGCGAGUGUAGAGGUGAAAUUCGUAGAUAUUCGCAAAGAACACCAGUGGCGAAGGCGGCGUCCUGGACCAACACUGACACUGAUGAGCGAAAGCCAAGGGGAGCAAACGGG
This 256-nucleotide ribosomal RNA is filed under the name uncultured bacterium. RNAcentral describes it as "partial 16S ribosomal RNA". It matches the Rfam family "Bacterial small subunit ribosomal RNA", at positions 524 to 776 of the family's 1533-position model. The record is from RNAcentral.